UUUCAGGAGCAAAAGACCGCUUCUUCUGUCUCACCAGCCUCAUUGCUGGGUCGACGUUGAGUCGGUGUAUCAUUAUCUCCGGGGGGAUGCCCGACAUAUUCGCUGCCAACCAAGCGAAUACGUCGGCAUUGGCCUUCAGCAGCUCUAGUAGCUGCCGUCGCUCGGGGUAGGGUAAUUGAGACCCGACCCAGACCGUUCGUUCGGAAUUCUCCAUUAUCAGGAUGGGAACGAGCUGCUCGGCCGUUUCACCUC
This 252-nucleotide long non-coding RNA is filed under the name Elaeis guineensis (African oil palm). Its description in RNAcentral is "long non-coding RNA (EGUI_LNC018842)". The record is from RNAcentral. Lineage: Eukaryota; Viridiplantae; Streptophyta; Magnoliopsida; Arecales; Arecaceae.